Molecule: small nucleolar RNA, 275 nt
Filed under: Monopterus albus (swamp eel)
Lineage: Eukaryota; Metazoa; Chordata; Actinopteri; Synbranchiformes; Synbranchidae
Source: RNAcentral
GAUUUGCAGACUUGUGAAGCUGCCCCUUGCAACGACUGUUUCCCGUGGGUACAACAAGGCUGCACAAAGCAACUCAAAGAAUGAAAAGGCAUGACUCCUGGAGGCUCAGGGGCUUCAUGUGCGAUGUUCCUUGGACAGACUCCUGCCUUCUACGGUGGUGAUUGUCUCCUUCUGUAGCCAUCACCUUUCUUGAGGCAGGUAGAGUAAAACCAGGCAGCCAGAUAUAGUUUGAUAGGGAAAGCUCUUCCUGUCAGACACUGUCAGCUGUCACAGUA